CUAUACAUGACUCUGCGCAUAUCAAUAAGCGGAGGAAAAGAAACUAACAAGGAUUCCCUUAGUAACGGCGAGUGAAGCGGGAAGAGCUCAAAUUUGAAAUCUUCAAGGUUUUACCUUGACGAAUUGUAGUUUAAAGAAGUGUUUUCUGCUGAAGUUUUGGUAAAAGUUCUUUGGAAUAGGACAUCAUAGAGGGUGAGAAUCCCGUAUUUGACCAUUAUUUUCAGCUUUGUGAUACACUUUCAAAGAGUCGGAUUGUUUGGGAAUGCAGUCCAAAAUGGGUGGUAAAUUUCAUCUAAAGCUAAACAUUGGCGAGAGACCGAUAGCGAACAAGUACCGUGAGGGAAAGAUGAAAAGAACUUUGAAAAGAGAGUUAAACAGUACGUGAAAUUGUCAAAAGGGAAGCGUUUGACACCAGUGUUGUUUUCUCGAAAAUCAAUUAAAAAUGGCUCGAUUUUGUAUUGCUUGAGACCUUAAAAGCUCACUGUACAUUUUUCGUGUCUUUUUUAAUGCACUUUCUCGUUUAACAAGUCAACACUCAGUUUCUUUUGUUGUAAAAGGGUCAUUGGAAGGUGGCUUUCUUUUCGGAGAAAGUGUUUAUAGCCUUUGGCCUCUGCAAUCGGAGAGACUGAGGUCUGCAGCGUAGACUCUUCGGGGUUAGAUACAUUUGUGCUAAGUUAUAGCUUUUUAUAGACAACUUGUUGACUAUAAUUAGUCUUGUAGCUUACUCGCUUAUGCUAUUUUACCUACGCUUAGGAUGUUGAAGAUGUAGCACAUCAU
RNAcentral lists this ribosomal RNA (777 nucleotides) under uncultured Neocallimastigales. RNAcentral's name for it is "partial large subunit ribosomal RNA". It matches the Rfam family "Eukaryotic large subunit ribosomal RNA", at positions 22 to 620 of the family's 3401-position model. Lineage: Eukaryota; Fungi; Neocallimastigomycota; Neocallimastigomycetes; Neocallimastigales. The record is from RNAcentral.